Molecule: non-coding RNA, 243 nt
Filed under: Enterococcus sp.
Lineage: Bacteria; Bacillati; Bacillota; Bacilli; Lactobacillales; Enterococcaceae
Description: T-box sequence
Rfam family: T-box leader
About the family: Uncharged tRNA acts as the effector for transcription antitermination of genes in the T-box leader family. T-boxes are found upstream of many aminoacyl-tRNA synthetase genes and some amino acid biosynthetic genes usually in Gram-positive bacteria. The anticodon of a specific tRNA base pairs to a specifier sequence within the T-box motif, and the NCCA acceptor tail of the tRNA base pairs to a conserved bulge in the T-box antiterminator hairpin.
Source: RNAcentral
GUAAACGCGAUGAAAAAGAAAGUAAAAUCAAGGUAAUUGUCUUGCAGAGAGUUCCGGCAGCUGAGAAGGAACGACAAUGAAUGAUUUGAACAUGACUUUGGAGCGGAUUUUCUGACUUAAAUGAGGAAAAUACGGCAGCCCCGUUAACAAGCACCAGUCUCCGAACGCUGUGUCGGGUACUGAUAGAGGUAGAAUGACGUCAUUCUACAAUGUAAGGUGGUACCGCAGUCCAAUGCCCUUAGU